CCUACGAGCAAAUAUUAAUAAAAGAGCACACUUCUUUACACAUUAAAGGUACCGGAUAAGUGACUGGCAAUCAUGUUGGGAUCACUCGUGUUAGCAAUUUCGAGAUUGGCUGUGGUUGCAGAGCUGCCCUUGAAGAGAGGGGAAAGGGUGAUUGGUUUCAAUUCCCCAACGGCAAAGGGGUGGGGGGAGAGCAUAAUUUGACUGUGGCAUUUUCCCACCGCUCUCCGUUUUGCUGGGGAAGCAUUAACAUGGCAGCCCCCCCCCCCCGAUAAUCACAGCAGGCUUGAGAUGUUAUUGUCGCAGGAUCCAAAGCAAGGCGGCGAUAUUCAAGGGAGGCUAAUUAAAUUAUUUCAAAAAAACCUUGCCAGAACAUUAUGCUUUUGUGCAAGAGAGAGAGAGAAGAAAAGAAAUCAGCAUGGCGCCCUCUUCUCAGUGUUUCAGGAGGACAGAAGGUAGCCAUGGGAUGCGUGGAGAGGAGGGAGGGAAGCAGUCUAGUUACGGGAUCUAAUGAACUCUGCAAACUUCCUGUGGCUUAUUCUCAGCUGCACGAGUUAUGGCACUCUGCAUUAUUAACAUCCCAGAUGCGCAAACCAGGUGACAUUUGACACCUUGUAAAGAAGAGGAAAAUUCAUUGGCCUUCUCUGGGUACUCUACUCUGGGGGAGGUAGGCAGGUAAAGGGAAAUGACAUUUGCAGCGACAAUUAAUUAGCAACAGGCAAUGUGAAAAGUGUGGCAUCUGUUAUCCCCUUUCAAUGAACUGAGCUCCACCUUAUGCUCAGACUCCACCUUGAAGAUGGGUUUGUGGACGGAGGUACCUCAUUGUAAACCACAUUUCACUGUGAUCUAUGAAUGCUAAUAAUAAUAAUAAUAAUAAUAAUAAUAAUAAUAAUAAUAAUUUAUUUAUACCCCGCCCAUCUGGCCGGGCCUCCCCAGCCACUAUGGGUGGCUCCCAACAGAAUAUCAAAAACACAAUACAGCAUCAAACAUUAAAAGCUUCCCUAAACAGGGCUGCCUUCAGAUGUCUUCUAAAAGUCUGGAAGUUGUUUAUCUCUUUGGCAUCUGGUGGGAGGGCGUUCCACAGGGCGGGUGCCACCACCGAGAAGGCCCUCUGCUUGGUUCCCUGUAACCUCACUUCUCGCAGGGAGGGAACCGUCAGAAGGCCCUCGGCGGUGGAUCUCAGUGUUCGGGCAGAACGAUGGGGGUGGAGACGCUCCUUCAGGUAUACAGGACCGAGGCCGUUUAGGGCUUUAAUGGUCAGCACCAACAUUUUGAUUUGUGCUUGGAAACAUACUGGGAGCCAAUGUAGGUCUUUCAGGACCGGUGUUAUACGGUCUCAGUAUAAAGCGAUAUAUUGCAUUGCAACUUGCUGAAUUGUAAUUAGCAGUUUUUCCCCUUCCGUUUUUUCAAAUGGGCACAGGACUUGAGCUGGUUUUCCAGCUGUGGAAGGCAGAACUGUGUCCUCCACAUGUGUCUCAAAUGCCAUUCCAGUAUCUCAGUGUUGAAGAGAGAGAUCAAGUUGCAGACACAUGCCAUGUUAGAUAAUCAAGUGAGGCCAGAGGUCUCACUUCAGUUAGCUAACUAACAACAAUUAAUCUAGAGACACACAGAUUGGAAGGGUCCACAAAGAAUUCCUAGCCUUUCCUGUCCCAACCCAACUCAAAUCCCUGAAUUCUAUCUAUUUGGGUUUGAAUAAUGUCCCAUUACAGGUGUAAAUUAACACAGCAAAUCUAGGAUGAAGGUAUUAUCACUGAUUACUACUGCUGCUGCUGCAACGGUCAUGGUGCUUAUUUAGCAUAUAUUUACCGUAAGCUUUAAUUGAACUGCCACAAGCCCUGAUAUUUAAAUUGCAUGACCCAUCCGACUCCACUGUUUACAAUUCUCCCUUUCCAUCUUGUGUGUGUGUGUACACACACACUGGUGAACCGAUAAUCUGGUGAACUGGGUUCGCUUCCCCGCUCCUCCACAUGCAGCUGCUGGGUGACCUUGGGCCAGUCACAUUUCUUUGAAGUCUCUCAGCCCCACUCACCUCACAGAGUGUUUGUUGUGGGGGAGGAAGGGAAAGGAGAAUGUUAGCCGCUUUGAGACGCCUUAGGGUAGUGAUAAAGCAGGAUAUCAAAUCCAAACUCCUCCUCCUCUUCUUCUUCUUCUUCUUCUUCUUCUUCUUCUUCUUCUUCCUCUUCUUCUUCUCCAUUGCAGGAUGCGGAAGCUUGUUUUCUCCUGCUCCGGAGGGUAGGACUCGAAUCGAUGGCUUCAAGUUACAAGAAAGGAGAUUCUGACUAAACAUCAGGGAACUAUAAGGAAAUUCUGCCCUUGGUAUGUCCAGUUUCCACCUCUCCAUUUCGAUUCUCUGG
Molecule: non-coding RNA, 2351 nt
Organism: Podarcis lilfordi (Lilford's wall lizard)
Lineage: Eukaryota; Metazoa; Chordata; Lepidosauria; Squamata; Lacertidae
Source: the annotation of a GenBank genome assembly